Molecule: ribosomal RNA, 484 nt
Filed under: uncultured Aeromicrobium sp.
Lineage: Bacteria; Bacillati; Actinomycetota; Actinomycetes; Propionibacteriales; Nocardioidaceae
Description: bacterial SSU rRNA
Rfam family: Bacterial small subunit ribosomal RNA
Source: RNAcentral
AGAGUUUGAUCCUGGCUCAGGACGAACGCUGGCGGCGUGCUUAACACAUGCAAGUCGAGCGGUAAGGCUCCUUCGGGAGUACACGAGCGGCGAACGGGUGAGUAACACGUGAGUAACCUGCCCUUCUCAUCGGAAUAAGCGUUGGAAACGACGUCUAAUGCCGAAUACGACUUCGGAAGGCAUCUUCUGAAGUGGAAAGCUCCGGCGGAGAAGGAUGGACUCGCGGCCUAUCAGCUUGUUGGUGAGGUAACGGCUCACCAAGGCGACGACGGGUAGCCGGCCUGAGAGGGUGACCGGCCACACUGGGACUGAGACACGGCCCAGACUCCUACGGGAGGCAGCAGUGGGGAAUAUUGGACAAUGGGCGCAAGCCUGAUCCAGCAACGCCGCGUGAGGGAUGACGGCCUUCGGGUUGUAAACCUCUUUCAGCAGGGACGAAGCGAAAGUGACGGUACCUGCAGAAGAAGGACCGGCCAACUACGUG